Molecule: ribosomal RNA, 234 nt
Filed under: uncultured bacterium
Lineage: Bacteria
Description: partial 16S ribosomal RNA
Rfam family: Bacterial small subunit ribosomal RNA
Source: RNAcentral
CCUACGGGAGGCAGCAGUGGGGAAUAUUGGGCAAUGGAGGAAACUCUGACCCAGCAAUGCCGCGUGAAUGAAGAAGGUCUUCGGAUUGUAAAGUUCUUUAGUCAGGGAAGAAGUCAAUGACGGUACCUGAAGAAUAAGCUCCGGCUAACUACGUGCCAGCAGUCGCGGUAAUACGUAGGUGGCAAGCGUUAUCCGGAUUUAUUGGGUGUAAAGGGCGUGUAGGCGGGAUUGCAA